UACGAAGGGUGCAAACGUUGCUCGGAAUCAUUGGGCGUAAAGCGCACGUAGGCGGCUUCGCAAGUCGGAUGUGAAAGCCCUCGGCUCAACUGAGGAAGUGCACCCGAAACUGGCGAGCUUGAGUACGAAAGAGGAUCGCGGAAUUCCCGGUGUAGAGGUGAAAUUCGUAGAUAUCGGGAGGAACACCGGUGGCGAAGGCGGCGAUCUGGGUCGAUACUGACGCUGAGGAGCGAAAGCGUGGGGGAGCGAACAGG
RNAcentral lists this ribosomal RNA (254 nucleotides) under uncultured bacterium. Its description in RNAcentral is "partial 16S ribosomal RNA". It matches the Rfam family "Bacterial small subunit ribosomal RNA", at positions 524 to 776 of the family's 1533-position model. The record is from RNAcentral.